This 85-nucleotide transfer RNA is filed under the name Pelolinea sp. RNAcentral's name for it is "tRNA-Leu". It matches the Rfam family "tRNA". Rfam says of the family: Transfer RNA (tRNA) molecules are approximately 80 nucleotides in length. Their secondary structure includes four short double-helical elements and three loops (D, anti-codon, and T loops). The record is from RNAcentral. Lineage: Bacteria; Bacillati; Chloroflexota; Anaerolineae; Anaerolineales; Anaerolineaceae.
GGGGCGGUGGCGGAAUUAGGCAGACGCAGAGGACUUAAAAUCCUCCGACAGAGAUGUCUUGUGGGUUCGAGUCCCACCCGCCCUA